This 69-nucleotide transfer RNA is filed under the name Cricetulus griseus (Chinese hamster). It matches the Rfam family "tRNA". Rfam says of the family: Transfer RNA (tRNA) molecules are approximately 80 nucleotides in length. The record is from Rfam by way of RNAcentral. Lineage: Eukaryota; Metazoa; Chordata; Mammalia; Rodentia; Cricetidae.
GGUCAUGUAGCUCAGUUGGUAGAGUGCUUGCCUAGUAUGCAUGGAGUCCUGGGUUCUAGCCCUGCACCA